CUUUUUUCCUACUCUGACCUUCUUUUUCUCUCCUCCUGUUUUGUUUCACUUCUGGUCAACCAACCAAGCAAUUGAGUUUCUGAGUUUCUGAUUGUCUGCUUCUUUGACAACUCCAAACAGUAGCCAAACCUUCACCUAAACAACCAUGCCGGGUCCGGGCCCCCACAUGAUGUACACACUUGGAGCGGGUCAAGCCCUGAUGAGCAUAUCCAACGGGCGCUUCAGCCCGCAUCACUGCCUCGUGUAUGCAAUCAAUGCUUUCUUCGGGCCGGAUAUGGGCUCCUUCUCGGAGUGGCUCACCUCCACCCUCGGGCUGGGACGGGCCGUGGGCUCUGCUGCAGAAUCAUUCAUCCAUCACCCCAUUUACUACACGCUCCUUCUGGGGUUCCCUUUAUCAGUCUUGUACAGCUGGAUUUCCAGAAUUCUUCUCCGUAGGGGUCUUCUUGAUUCCAUUUCUGGGGUCAUAAUGUAAUGAAGACAAGUCCAACUCUAGACCGAUCAUGUGGGGGGCAAUGACGUAAACAGGUACAACAGGUACCUCUUACAAGAUGGCAGUGCUUCUACUUGGUGUCAGCAGGUUCUUUGUCCCAUUUUUUCUUAGACCACUUGUUUGAGGAAAACGGGCAGUCUAAAAUGUAUACUUGGAUACUGAGCACAGGUUGGUGGAAAGGCAGAGCACCAAUCACCCCAGAUGCAGUUGUUGUGAUUAGCUUCCUUUGUAUUUGCUUGAUUGGAGGUUUUAUAUAUAUUAACAGAGUGAAGUCCUCGAGAUCUCUAAAAACCAGGUCUAAUCUGUCUGCAAGAUUAAUCUUGACAAUAGCAGUCCUGUACUCAUUAUGGUGUGCUAGCCAGAUAUACUUGGUAAGUCCUCGUCGACCAGCAGUCGGUGAAGAGGCUGAUCUCGGUGUAAUUGUGUUUCUGAGCAUUUACUUUUUCCUGCCCCAUUGUCUGUGUUUUAUGUCUAUGAACACUAGAGAUUUUGCUGAAACAUCAGAACAGCUUCCGCUUUGAUUGGCAAUCACUAUGGUUUAGCUUGUUAAUGGCAUAUGACCUUCAUCUGAAGGGCCUCUUCUGUUGAAAA
This is an RNA transcript of Coffea eugenioides, 1081 nucleotides long. RefSeq lists it as uncharacterized. The record is from RefSeq and is a predicted model, not a curated record. NCBI's taxonomy places the organism in Eukaryota, Viridiplantae, Streptophyta, Magnoliopsida, Gentianales, Rubiaceae. The transcript is spliced from 5 exons.